GCGGCGUGCCUAACACAUGCAAGUCGAACGAGAAGCCUGGUUUCGAUUAGGUGGAGAGUGGCGCAUGGGUGAGUAACACGUGGCUGACCUGCCCUUCAGAGGGGGACAAGCACCGGAAACGGUGGCUAAUACCCCAUACGCUCGCCGUGAUUAGCGACGCGGUGAGGAAACCUUCGUGGGCUGAGGGAGGUGGCUGUGGCCCAUCAGCUAGUUGGAACGGUAACGGCCUACCAAUGCAAAGACGGGUAGGUGGCCUGAGAUGGUGACCCCCCACACUGGCACUGAGACACUGGCCCUACUUCUACGGACGUGCACCAGUGAGGGAUAUUGCCCAAUGGACGUAAGUCUGAGGCAGCAACGCCGCGUGCGGGAUGAAGGCCUUCGGGUUGUAAACCGCUUUUCUGCGCGAAGAGGAAGUGAUGGUAGCGCAUGAAGAAGUCUCGGUUAACUACGUGCCAGGAGCCUGCGGUAAAACGUAGGAGGCGAGCGUUAUCCGGAUUUACUGGUGCGUAAAGCGCGUGCAUGUGGUCAUGUAAGUGGUGCGUGAAAGCGCCCGGGUCAACCGGGCGAGGCCGUGCCAAACUGCGUGACUGGAGGCAGUUAGAGGCGCGUGGAAUUCCGGGUGUAGUGGUGAAAUGCGUAGAUAUCCGGAGGAACACCAGUGGUGAAUGCGGCGCGCUGGGCCUGACCUGACGCUAAGACGCGAAAGCAUGGGGAGCGAACGGGAUUAGAAAGCCCGGUAGUCCAUGCUGUAAACGCUGCAGACUAGCUCUUGCCUGCGACGAGUAUGCAGUCCCGAAGCCAACGUGAUAAGUCUGCCACCUGGGGACUACGGCCGCAAGGUUAAAACUCAAAGGAAUUGACGGGGGCCCGCACAAGCAGCGGAGCGUGUGGUUUAAUUCGAGGCUACACGAAGAACCUUACCUGGGCUUGACAUGACGGUGCUAGGGAACCGAAAGGGGACCGACCUUCGGGAUCCGUCACAGCUGCUGCAUGGCUGUCGUCAGCUCGUGUCGUGAGAUGUUCGCUUAAGUCCGGUAACGAGCGCAACCCUCGUCGCUAGUUACAAGUGUCUAGCGGGACUGCCCGUUGAACGCGGGAGGAAGGUGGGGAUGACGUCUAGUCAGCAUGGCCUUUAUGUCCAGGGCUACACACACGCUACAAUGGCCGGUACAAUGGGUCGCCAACCCGCGAGGGGGAGCCAAUCCAUCAAAGCCGGUCUCAGUUCGGAUUGCAGGCUGCAACCCGCCUGCAUGAAGUCGGAGUUGCUAGUAGCCGCAGGUCAGCUAUCCUCGCGGUGUAUACGUUCCCGGGCCUUGUACACACCGCCCGUCACGUCAUGGG
Molecule: ribosomal RNA, 1344 nt
Filed under: uncultured organism
Description: bacterial SSU rRNA
Rfam family: Bacterial small subunit ribosomal RNA
Source: RNAcentral